RNAcentral lists this ribosomal RNA (483 nucleotides) under uncultured Verrucomicrobiaceae bacterium. RNAcentral describes it as "bacterial SSU rRNA". It matches the Rfam family "Bacterial small subunit ribosomal RNA", at positions 29 to 505 of the family's 1533-position model. The record is from RNAcentral. Lineage: Bacteria; Pseudomonadati; Verrucomicrobiota; Verrucomicrobiia; Verrucomicrobiales; Verrucomicrobiaceae.
AACGAACGCUGGCGGCGUGGAUAAGACAUGCAAGUCGAACGGGAAAUACACUUAGCUUGCUUUGAGUAUUUCUAGUGGCGCACGGGUUAGUAACACGUGAGCAACCUGCCCUGAAGUGGGGGAUAGCCCAGCGAAAGCUGGAUUAAUACCGCAUGUGACCUACGGGUUAAAGAUGCCUUCGGGUGUCACUUCAGGAUGGGCUCGCGGCCUAUCAGCUAGAUGGUGAGGUAAUGGCUCACCAUGGCGACGACGGGUAACUGGUCUGAGAGGAUGAUCAGUAACACUGGAACUGAGACACGGUCCAGACACCUACGGGUGGCAGCAGUCGAGAAUCAUUCACAAUGGGGGAAACCCUGAUGGUGCAACGCCGCGUGGAGGAUGAAGGCCCUAGGGUCGUAAACUCCUGUCAUCAGAGAGUAAUGCAUGAUCGUUAAUAGCUUUCAUGCUUGAUAGUAUCUGAAGAGGAAGGGACGGCUAACUUCG